AACUAUAGAAGAAAGCUAAACCGUAACCAUUACACGAACUAUAGAAGGAAGCUAAACCUUUAAUUUUCUAAAAUCUCUGAAACUAUGGCAAACACUUCGACAAGGGUCUUGUCAGGGAAAUUAAAUCGGACGAUGAAACCGUACAUAAAGAUCAAUAUAGAGAACCAACCAACCAAGGUAAACAGAAUAGGAACUAGACAGAUUAAUCCUGAUACUGUCCCUGCGCCAAAGAUCAACCACAAAUGGUCCUUGCCAAACGUGGGAGACACAAGUUGGCAAAUUGCGACAAGGCCAGUGAUGGACGACAUGGUAUACACGAAAACUUCCACAAUCUUUCCCAAAUAAAGCGUUAUAACGCAGAUUA
RNAcentral lists this long non-coding RNA (364 nucleotides) under Brassica napus (rape). RNAcentral's name for it is "long non-coding RNA (BNAP_LNC013071)". Lineage: Eukaryota; Viridiplantae; Streptophyta; Magnoliopsida; Brassicales; Brassicaceae. The record is from RNAcentral.